UACUCCAGUGGAUUUACAAGAAGAUUUGAGCUUUGAGGAGCAUCCAGUGAGAAUACUAGCUCGAGAAGUGAAACGGCUUCGUAAUCGCGAGAUACCCUACGUGAAAAUCCUUUGGAGCAAUCACGAGGAACGAGAAGCCACUUGGGAACUGGAGAGUGCAAUGCAAGAGCAUUAUCCCUAUUUAUUCUCGAUGGAAUCUUGAGGGUUUUUCUCUCUCUACAAAGAAUUCGCCGAUUUCGCUCGUUUUCGUCGUCGCGCGCAUUCUUCGCUGGUUGCGAGUGUUGCAGCACCUUUGUGCACGUGUGAGGGAGUGUUUUGGAAGGCUCUUUGCUGUCCUGAACCAGUAGGGUGCUGGUUGGAAGCUUGAGAAGGUCUUCGAGCCUCGUUGAGCUGAACUUGUACCUUUUGAAGCUGGUUUGGGAGGUAUUCUAACCUGAGCGAGAGUGCGAACGAGCUUUGGAUCGUCGUGAGCUGACUUGUGAGAGCUCUUGGAGGCGUCUCUUGAGCAGCAUUGGGGCUUCGUUGAGCCGUUGUGGGACUUCUUGUGGAUAAUCGGAGCCUAGUACUAGGUGGGUCGGACCUAACCAGAGCAAGUGAAGCUCCCCUAUGUUCUAUAUGUACUAUAGAAUUGAUACAGUUGUAUGUUUUUGUGAUUGAUACAGAAUUUGAGACGAGUCACUAUAUUAUAGUGUUGAUAUGUAUACAUUGAUUGAAUAGAACCUCUAUGAAGUAGAGAGUACUCAUGCAUAAGUGUCUUUAUGCCUAUGUUUAUGUUCAUAUUUAGUUAAGAUAA
Long non-coding RNA from Ananas comosus (pineapple), 793 nucleotides. RefSeq lists it as uncharacterized. Lineage: Eukaryota; Viridiplantae; Streptophyta; Magnoliopsida; Poales; Bromeliaceae. The record is from RefSeq and is a predicted model, not a curated record. The transcript has 5 exons.